This 254-nucleotide ribosomal RNA is filed under the name uncultured bacterium. Its description in RNAcentral is "partial 16S ribosomal RNA". It matches the Rfam family "Bacterial small subunit ribosomal RNA", at positions 524 to 776 of the family's 1533-position model. The record is from RNAcentral.
UACGGGGGGGGGUAAGCGUUGUUCGGAAUUACUGGGCGUAAAGGGCUCGUAGGCGGCCAACUAAGUCAGACGUGAAAUCCCUCAGCUUAACUGGGGAACUGCGUCUGAUACUGGAUGGCUUGGAUUCGGGAGAGGAAUGCGGAAUUCCAGGUGUAGCGGUGAAAUGCGUAGAUAUCUGGAGGAACACCGGUGGCGAAGGCGACCUUCUGGACAGAGACUGACACUGAGGCACGAAAGCGUGGGGAGCAAACAGG